UGCGGGGUGGAGCAGCUCGGUAGCUCGUCGGGCUCAUAACCCGAAGGUCAUAGGUUCAAAUCCUGUCCCCGCUACCA
This 77-nucleotide transfer RNA is filed under the name Halothiobacillaceae bacterium. Its description in RNAcentral is "tRNA-Met". It matches the Rfam family "tRNA". From Rfam's summary of the family: Transfer RNA (tRNA) molecules are approximately 80 nucleotides in length. Their secondary structure includes four short double-helical elements and three loops (D, anti-codon, and T loops). Lineage: Bacteria; Pseudomonadati; Pseudomonadota; Gammaproteobacteria; Chromatiales; Halothiobacillaceae. The record is from RNAcentral.